UGGGGAAUGUUGGGCAAUGGGGGAAACCCUGACCCAGCAACGCCGCGUGAGGGAAGAAGGUCUUCGGAUUGUAAACCUUUGUCCUAUGGGACGAAAGAAAUGACGGUACCAUAGGAGGAAGCUCCGGCUAACUACGUGCCAGCAGCCGCGGUAAUACGUAGGGAGCAAGCGUUGUCCGGAAUUACUGGGCGUAAAGGGUGCGUAGGUGGUCAUGUAAGUCAGAUGUGAAAGACCGGGGCUUAACCCCGGGGUUGCAUUUGAAACUGUGUGACUUGAGUACAGGAGAGGGAAGUGGAAUUCCUAGUGUAGCGGUGA
This 315-nucleotide ribosomal RNA is filed under the name uncultured bacterium. RNAcentral describes it as "bacterial SSU rRNA". It matches the Rfam family "Bacterial small subunit ribosomal RNA", at positions 355 to 684 of the family's 1533-position model. The record is from RNAcentral.